This 24-nucleotide non-coding RNA is filed under the name Arabidopsis thaliana (thale cress). Lineage: Eukaryota; Viridiplantae; Streptophyta; Magnoliopsida; Brassicales; Brassicaceae. The record is from RNAcentral.
UGAACGAUAAAUAAAAAGCGGUCC